This 770-nucleotide ribosomal RNA is filed under the name uncultured bacterium. Its description in RNAcentral is "bacterial SSU rRNA". It matches the Rfam family "Bacterial small subunit ribosomal RNA", at positions 9 to 795 of the family's 1533-position model. The record is from RNAcentral.
GAGUUUGAUCCUGGCUCAGCGCGAACGCUGGCGGCAUGGCUAAAACAUGCAAGUCGAACGCGAAAGGAGGCUUCGGCCUCCGAGUAGAGUGGCGAAAGGGCGAGGAAUACGUUCCUAACGUGCCCCAAGGUCAGGGAUAGCCCAGGGAAACCUGGAUUAAUACCUGAUGAUCCUGCAACGUCGUAUGGCGAUGCAGGCAAAAAUUUAUUGCCUUGGGAUCGGGGAACGUGCUAUCAGCUUGUUGGUGAGGUAACGCUCACCAAGGCGAAGACGGCUAGCGGUUGUGAGAGCACGACCCGCCCGCAUCGGACUGAGACACUGCCCGGACUCCUACGGGAGGCUGCAGUAACGAAUAUUCCGCAAUGCGCGAAAGCGUGACGGAGCAAUGCCGCGUGCAGGAUGAACCCCUCGGGGUGUAAACUGCUGUCAGGGUUCAGGAACACAAUGACCAGACCCAAAGGAAGGCCCGGCUUACUUCGGGCCAGCAAGCCGCGGUAAUACGAAGGCCCAAGCGUUGCGCCGGAAUUAUUGGGCUUAAAGGGUGCGUAGGCGGACCCGCAAGUGCCUUGUGAAAGCCCUCGGCUCAACCGAGGAAUUGCUUGGUAGACUGCAGGUCUUGAGCUCGGCAGGGGCGGUCGGAACUCUAGGUGGAGCGGUGAAAUGCGUAGAUAUCUAGAGGAACGCCAAAGGUGAAGACAGACCGCUGGGCCGACGCUGACGCUGAGGCACGAAAGCGUGGGUAGCGAACGGGAUUAGAUACCCUGGUAGUC